This 448-nucleotide ribosomal RNA is filed under the name uncultured Christensenellaceae bacterium. RNAcentral's name for it is "bacterial SSU rRNA". It matches the Rfam family "Bacterial small subunit ribosomal RNA", at positions 335 to 797 of the family's 1533-position model. Lineage: Bacteria; Bacillati; Bacillota; Clostridia; Christensenellales; Christensenellaceae. The record is from RNAcentral.
GGUCCUACGGGAGGCAGCAGUGGGGAAUAUUGGGCAAUGGGCGCAAGCCUGACCCAGCAACGCCGCGUGAGGGAAGAAGGCUUUCGGGUUGUAAACCUCUGUCCUUGGUGACGAAACAAAUGACGGUAGCCAAGGAGGAAGCCCCGGCUAACUACGUGCCAGCAGCCGCGGUAAUACGUAGGGGGCGAGCGUUGUCCGGAAUUACUGGGCGUCAAGGGUGCGUAGGUGGCCUUUUAAGUUGGAUGUGAAAUACCCUGGGUUAACGUGGGGGGUGCAACUAAUACUGGAGGGCUAGAGUGCAGGAGAGGAAAGCGGAAUUCCUAGUGUAGCGGUGAAAUGCGUAGAUAUUAGGAGGAACACCAGUGGCGAAGGCGGCUUUCUGGACUGUAACUGACACUGAGGCACGAAAGCGUGGGGAGCAAACAGGAUUAGAUACCCCGGUAGUCCA